Molecule: long non-coding RNA, 745 nt
Filed under: Mytilus galloprovincialis (Mediterranean mussel)
Lineage: Eukaryota; Metazoa; Mollusca; Bivalvia; Mytilida; Mytilidae
Source: RNAcentral
AGAUUAGAUUUUUUUUUAAAUGUUUAUGAAUUUUCAAAAAUUCCACCUGAAAACCGAUCAGACAAUAGUUUAAAGUUGACUCAAUGCAGACAAGAACAUUAACUGAUGCUCAUUGGCUAGCAGAUACAUUUGUCUUUAAAAAUACAACUGACAUAAUGUUUAGGACCGUAAUGGUGCUAUGUGGAUAAAUUUACCGGUUUUCAAGAGCUAAAUUGGCAGCGCGUCAUCCGUACAAUGGCUUCCUUUUCUACGAUUGUAAAAAUGAACAGGCGGAAUGGGGAGAUAAUUUUGACGAAGUAGAAUCAUGACUGCGUGAACUAAAUCUUUGCACUUUCAAAUUGUAAAAAAGGUAAAAAGGAAAAAAAUAUAAAAUAUACGAAAGAAAGAUAAGUAAACUUUUGAAAAAGCAGGGAAUGAAAUUGGAGAAAAGAUUAAAAAAAAAUCCCAACACGAACAACGGUUAUAUUAUUCACUCACUAGAACAGGUUACGUACGGUAAAGUUGGACAUUUGCUUUAGUACACAUACGUCAUCUAAGGUAUAAAAUGUUAUGGACAGCAUUUCAUUUUCGUGUAUUAAAUAUUAAUUAAAAAUACUUGGUAUUUUAAGUAUUUCAAAAUAAUUUACAACUUUAAAGCCAAUGCAUUUCAUGACAAUCAUACUAAAAUAUUCCCACAAGAAAACAAUUCUAAAUAAAACUACAAAAUGUUUAAAACAAACCAUGGCGCCUCUAUUGAUUUUUUUUC